RNAcentral lists this ribosomal RNA (1528 nucleotides) under uncultured prokaryote. RNAcentral describes it as "partial 16S ribosomal RNA". It matches the Rfam family "Bacterial small subunit ribosomal RNA". The record is from RNAcentral.
AGAGUUUGAUCCUGGCUCAGAACGAACGCUGGCGGCGUGCUUAACACAUGCAAGUCGAACGCGAAAGUACCGCUUCGGUGGUACAAGUAGAGUGGCGCACGGGUGAGUAACGCGUAGGUAAUCUACCCUUAUAUUUGGGAUAACAUACCGAAAGGUCUGCUAAUACCGGAUACGCUUAUUAAUACGCGAGUAUGAAUAAGGAAAGGUAACCACUGAUAUAAGUUAUCGUAUAAGGAUGAGCCUGCGUACCAUUAGCUUGUUGGUGGGGUAAAGGCCUACCAAGGCAACGAUGGUUAGCGGGUCUGAGAGGAUGAUCCGCCACACUGGAACUGGAACACGGACCAGACUCCUACGGGAGGCAGCAGUGAGGAAUAUUGCGCAAUGGGGGAAACCCUGACGCAGCGACGUCGCGUGGGUGAUGAAGGCUUUCGGGUCGUAAAGCCCUGUCAAGUGGGAAGAAGUGCAUACAGGUAAAUAGUCUGUAUGUUUGACGGUACCACUAGAGGAAGCACCGGCUAACUCCGUGCCAGCAGCCGCGGUAAUACGGAGGGUGCGAGCGUUGUUCGGAAUUACUGGGCGUAAAGGGCGCGUAGGCGGCUGUACAAGUCGGAUGUGAAAGCCCACGGCUCAACCGUGGAAGAGCAUUUGAAACUGUAUGGCUUGAGUAUGGGAGGGGAAAGUGGAAUUCCCGGUGUAGAGGUGAAAUUCGUAGAUAUCGGGAGGAACACCUGUGGCGAAGGCGACUUUCCUGGACCAAUACUGACGCUGAGGCGCGAGAGCGUGGGGAGCAAACAGGAUUAGAUACCCUGGUAGUCCACAGCUGUAAACGAUGAGAACUAGGUGUAGGGGGUGUUGACCCCUCCUGUGCCGCAGCUAACGCAAUAAGUUCUCCGCCUGGGGAGUACGGCCGCAAGGCUAAAACUCAAAGGAAUUGACGGGGGCCCGCACAAGCGGUGGAGUAUGUGGUUUAAUUCGACGCAACGCGAAGAACCUUACCUGGGCUUGACAUCCCGAGAAUUUUCUGGAAACGGAGAAGUGCCUCAACCGAGGAGCUUGGAGACAGGUGCUGCAUGGCUGUCGUCAGCUCGUGUCGUGAGAUGUUGGGUUAAGUCCCGCAACGAGCGCAACCCUCGCCUUUAGUUGCCAUCAUUAAGUUGGGCACUCUAAAGGGACUGCCGGUGUCAAACCGGAGGAAGGUGGGGAUGACGUCAAGUCCUCAUGGCCUUUAUGUCCAGGGCUACACACGUACUACAAUGGUCGGUACAAAGGGCAGCGACCUUGCGAGAGGGAGCGAAUCCCAUAAAGCCGAUCUCAGUCCGAAUCGGAGUCUGCAACUCGACUCCGUGAAGUUGGAAUCGCUAGUAAUCGUGGAUCAGCAUGCCACGGUGAAUACGUUCCCGGGCCUUGUACACACCGCCCGUCACACCACGGGAGUUGGUUGUACCAGAAGUAGUUGGACCAACCCGCAAGGGGGGUAGGCACCUAAGGUAUGGCUGAUGAUUGGGGUGAAGUCGUAACAAGGUAGCCG